This 233-nucleotide ribosomal RNA is filed under the name uncultured Lactobacillus sp. RNAcentral's name for it is "partial 16S ribosomal RNA". It matches the Rfam family "Bacterial small subunit ribosomal RNA", at positions 129 to 354 of the family's 1533-position model. The record is from RNAcentral. Lineage: Bacteria; Bacillati; Bacillota; Bacilli; Lactobacillales; Lactobacillaceae.
CCCAAGAGAUCGGGAUAACACCUGGAAACAGAUGCUAAUACCGGAUAACAACAGAUGAUGCCUAUCAACUGUUUAAAAGAUGGUUCUGCUAUCACUCUUGGAUGGACCUGCGGUGCAUUAGCUAGUUGGUAGGGUAACGGCCUACCAAGGCGAUGAUGCAUAGCCGAGUUGAGAGACUGAUCGGCCACAAUGGAACUGAGACACGGUCCAUACUCCUACGGGAGGCAGCAGGC